UACGUAGGGUGCAAGCGUUAAUCGGAAUUACUGGGCGUAAAGCGUGCGCAGGCGGUUAUGUAAGACAGAUGUGAAAUCCCCGGGCUCAACCUGGGAACUGCAUUUGUGACUGCAUAGCUAGAGUACGGUAGAGGGGGGAUGGAAUUCCGCGUGUAGCAGUGAAAUGCGUAGAUAUGCGGAGGAACACCGAUGGCGAAGGCAAUCCCCCUGGACCUGUACUGACGCUCAUGCACGAAAAGCGUGGGGAGCAAACAGG
Molecule: ribosomal RNA, 256 nt
Filed under: uncultured bacterium
Lineage: Bacteria
Description: partial 16S ribosomal RNA
Rfam family: Bacterial small subunit ribosomal RNA
Source: RNAcentral